This 492-nucleotide ribosomal RNA is filed under the name uncultured bacterium. Its description in RNAcentral is "partial 16S ribosomal RNA". It matches the Rfam family "Bacterial small subunit ribosomal RNA", at positions 36 to 507 of the family's 1533-position model. The record is from RNAcentral.
CGUUCCCUCUGGCGGUAGGCCUAACACAUGCAAGUCGAACGGCAGCACAGUAAGAGCUUGCUCUUACGGGUGGCGAGUGGCGGACGGGUGAGGAAUACAUCGGAAUCUACUUUUUCGUGGGGGAUAACGUAGGGAAACUUACGCUAAUACCGCAUACGACCUUCGGGUGAAAGCAGGGGAUCUUCGGACCUUGCGCGAUUGAAUGAGCCGAUGUCGGAUUAGCUAGUUGGCGGGGUAAAGGCCCACCAAGGCGACGAUCCGUAGCUGGUCUGAGAGGAUGAUCAGCGACACUGGAGCUGAGACACGGUCCAGACUCCUACGGGAGGCAGCAGUGGGGAAUAUUGGACAAUGGGCGCAAGCCUGAUCCAGCCAUACCGCGUGGGUGAAGAAGGCCUUCGGUUUGUAAAGCCCUUUUGUUGGGAAAGAAAAGCAGCAGGUUAAUACCCCGCUGUUCUGACGGUACCCAAAGAAUAAGCGCCGGCUAACUUCGUG